GAAAGUUAAUAAGGGCGCACGGAGGAUGCCUAGGCUCUCAGAGGCGAAGAAGGACGCGAUAAGCUGCGAAAAGCCGCGGGGAUCGGCAAAUACGAAUCGAUCCGCGGAUAUCCGAAUGGGACAACCCAUCUAGCAAUAGAUAUCCUGCGAUGCAGGAGGCCAACCCGCUGAACUGAAACAUCUAAGUAAGCGGAGGAAAAGAAAACAAUAGUGAUUCCCGGAGUAGUGGCGAUCGAAACGGGAGGAGCCCAAACCAAGGUUGUCCAGGCAAUCUUGGGGUUGUAGGACCACGCGAUUUGAAUUGAUCCGAGGUGGAACCGUCUGGAAAGUCGGGCCGUAGAGGGUGACAGCCCCUUACACGGAAGGAGAUAAGAGAUAGUGGUAUCCUGAGUAGGGCGGGACACGUGAAAUCCUGUCUGAAUCUGCGGGGACCAUCCCGCAAGGCUAAAUACUACUGAGAGACCGAUAGUGGACCAGUACCGUGAGGGAAAGGUGAAAAGCACCCCGAACAGGGGAGUGAAAUAGUACCUGAAACCGUGCGCUUACAAGCGGUAGGAGUCCCGAUUAAUCGGGAUGACUGCGUGCCUUUUGCAUAAUGAGCCUACGAGUUAGUCGUCGUUAGCGAGGUUAAGUUGUUCAGCAACGGAGCCGAAGCGAAAGCGAGUCUGAACAGGGCGUUCAGUUAGCGGCGCUAGACGCGAAACCUUGUGAUCUACCCAUGGGCAGGAUGAAGUUUUGGUAACACAAAAUGGAGGUCCGAACCAGGGAGCGUUGAAAAGCUCUUGGAUGACCUGUGGGUAGGGGUGAAAGGCCAAUCAAACUGGGAAAUAGCUCGUACUCCCCGAAAUGCAUUUAGGUGCAGCCUCGUAUUAGUUUUGCAGAGGUAGAGCUACUGAUUGGAUGCGAGGGCUUCGCCGCCUAUCAAUUCCAGACAAACUCCGAAUGCUGCAAAAUGAUGUACGGGAGUGAGGGCGCGGGUGCUAAGGUCCGCGUCCGAGAGGGAAAGAACCCGGACCAUCAGCUAAGGUCCCCAAGUGUGUGCUAAGUUGAAAAAACGAGGUCUGAUUGCAUAGACAGCUAGGAUGUUGGCUUGGAAGCAGCCAUUCAUUUAAAGAGUGCGUAACAGCUCACUAGUCGAGCGAUCGGGCAUGGAUAAUAAUCGGGCAUAAGCACGCCACCGAAGCUAUGGGAUAGCCAUUAAAUUGGCGAUCGGUAGGGGAGCAUUCCAGCGGCGCCGAAGCCGCAGCGCGAGCUGUGGUGGAGCUUCUGGAAAAGCAAAUGUAGGCAUAAGUAACGAUAAUGCGGGCGAGAAACCCGCACGCCGAAAAGCUAAGGAUUCCUGAUCAACGUUAAUCGGAUCAGGGUUAGUCGGGACCUAAGGCUAAGCCGCAAGGCGAUGUCGAUGGCAAACGGGUUAAUAUUCCCGUACCCGCUAUGCAAUAAAAGUGACGGAGCGCCCAGCGUGCUACGGGGCGACGGAAGUCCCCGUUGAGCCUAGCCUUCGGGCGAAGCGAAGCAUGGUAAGCGCUUCCAAGAAAAGCGAGCAUAGCGGCCCGUACCGUAAACCGACACAGGUAGCUGAGGAGAGGAUCCUAAGGCGCUCGAGUGAUUCAUGGCUAAGGAACUAGGCAAAAUCACCCCGUAACUUCGGGAUAAGGGGAUCCCGCGCGAGCGGGACGCAGUGAAAAGGCCCAUGCGACUGUUUAUCAAAAACACAUGGCUAUGCUAAAUCGAAAGAUGACGUAUAUGGCCUGACACCUGCCCGGUGCCGGAAGGUUAAGUGGGGGGCUUAUCGUAAGAGAAGGCCUGAAAUGAAGCCCCGGUAAACGGCGGCCGUAACUAUAACGGUCCUAAGGUAGCGAAAUUCCUUGUCGGGUAAGUUCCGACCU
This 1889-nucleotide ribosomal RNA is filed under the name bioreactor metagenome. RNAcentral describes it as "bacterial LSU rRNA". It matches the Rfam family "Bacterial large subunit ribosomal RNA", at positions 1 to 1989 of the family's 2925-position model. The record is from RNAcentral.